UACGGGGGGAGCAAGCGUUGUUCGAAUUUACUGGGCGUAAAGGGCGCGUAGGUGGAUAAGCAAGUGUGAUGUGAAAGCCCCGGGCUUAACCUGGGAAGUGCAUCGCAAACUGUUUGUCUAGAGUACGAGAGAGGGUGGUGGAAUUUCCGGUGUAGCGGUGAAAUGCGUAGAGAUCGGAAAGAACGUCAAUGGCGAAGGCAGCCACCUGGCUCGAUACUGACACUGAGGCGCGAAAGCGUGGGGAGCGAACAGG
This 253-nucleotide ribosomal RNA is filed under the name uncultured bacterium. RNAcentral describes it as "partial 16S ribosomal RNA". It matches the Rfam family "Bacterial small subunit ribosomal RNA", at positions 524 to 776 of the family's 1533-position model. The record is from RNAcentral.